CAUGUCUUUUUGAUUAUAAUUUAAAGUCUAAUCUGCUCGAUGAAUAAUUUUAAAUGGCCGCGGUAUUUUGACCGUGCGAAGGUAGCAUAAUAAUUAGUUUCUUAAUUAGAAUCUAGAAUGAAGGAUUGGACGAGAAAUUGACUGUCUCAAUUUUAAUUUAUUAGAAUUUUACUUUUAAGUUAAAAGGCUUAAAUUUUUUUGGAAGACGAGAAGACCCUAUAGAGUUUAAUAUUUAAAGUUGAUAAUUUAUUUUAGGAUUUAUUUUUUAUUAGCUUAUGUAUUUAAUUGGGGUGAUUAUUAAAUUUAUAAAACUUUAAUUUUAAUAUUUACACAUUUAUGUGAAUAGCUGAUCCAAUUAUUUUGAUUAUAAGAUAAAAUUACCUUAGGGAUAACAGCGUAAUUUUUUUGGAAAGUUCAUAUUUAUAAAAAAGAUUGCGACCUCGAUGUUGGAUUAAAAUUUAAUUUAGGUGCAGGAGCUUAAAAAUUGGGUCUGUUCGACCUUUAAAAUUUUACAUGAUCUGAGU
This 524-nucleotide ribosomal RNA is filed under the name Drilonius sp. UPOL 001273. RNAcentral describes it as "partial 16S ribosomal RNA". It matches the Rfam family "Bacterial large subunit ribosomal RNA", at positions 1816 to 2610 of the family's 2925-position model. The record is from RNAcentral. Lineage: Eukaryota; Metazoa; Arthropoda; Insecta; Coleoptera; Omethidae.